RNAcentral lists this ribosomal RNA (254 nucleotides) under uncultured bacterium. Its description in RNAcentral is "partial 16S ribosomal RNA". It matches the Rfam family "Bacterial small subunit ribosomal RNA", at positions 524 to 776 of the family's 1533-position model. The record is from RNAcentral.
CACGUAGGGGCCAAGCGUUGUCCGGAUUCAUUGGGCGUAAAGAGCUCGUAGGCGGUUCAGUUAGUCGGGUGUGAAAUCCCCGGGCUCAACCCGGAGGGGCCACCCGAUACUGCUGUGACUCGAGUCCGGUAGGGGAGUGGGGAAUUCCUGGUGUAGCGGUGAAAUGCGCAGAUAUCAGGAGGAAUACCGGUGGCGAAGGCGCCACUCUGGGCCGAAACUGACGCUGAGGAGCGAAAGCGUGGGUAGCAAACAGG